CCACCAACGAACGCUGCCUGGUGUACUAACACAUGCAAGUCGAGCGCGCCUUCGGGUGAGGGGUUAGUAACGCGUGGGAACGUGCCCUUCUCUACGGAAUAGCCUCUGGAAACGGAGAGUAAUACCGUAUACGCCCUUUGGGGGAAAGAUUUAUCGGACGAAUGAUCGGCCCGCGUUAGAUUAGGUAGUUGGUGGGGUAACGGCCUACCAAGCCUACGAUCUAUAGCUGGCUUUAGAGGAUGAUUCAGCACACUGGGACUGAGACACGGUCCCAGACUCUUACGGAAGGCAGCCAGUGGGGACAAUCUUUGCCAAUGUGGGCACCCCUGAUUUAACCAUUGCCCGGGAAGUUAUGUAGGGCCUUGGGCCGGAAAACCCUUUCCGCCUUGAAGAAUAUUGCACAGGCAAGGUAAGAAACCCCGG
Molecule: ribosomal RNA, 423 nt
Filed under: uncultured Leisingera sp.
Lineage: Bacteria; Pseudomonadati; Pseudomonadota; Alphaproteobacteria; Rhodobacterales; Roseobacteraceae
Description: bacterial SSU rRNA
Rfam family: Bacterial small subunit ribosomal RNA
Source: RNAcentral